GCUGCCCUGAAGUCCAUGCAAGCGAGCAGAGUCCCGGGAGCCCUACAGAGGCCUGGGUGGCAUGCACUCCCUCUCACGAGGUGGCACGGACCCCAGAAGCCACAUUGGAUGAGGCUCUGGUCUGUCUCACCAGGCGAGUUGGAUUCCAAGAAGUUGGACCACCAGACUGAAUUCAAACUUCAUUCUCAACCAUUCAGGACCCCAUCCUGCCUUAAAUCCUUGCCCCAUGAGCCUCUUCCUUUGCUCUGAGGAUCUUAAAAUCAGGCAUGGAAAUGGUCCCAAAAGGAUCCCUACAAGUAAACUUGAAAGCAAAACUUGAGUCUUGCAUCAUUCCUGCUUCAUUCAGGGAUCAGCAUAAAUCUUCCAGCCCUCAUGGUCCACCCUAGGGAAGGUGCCAAAAGCCAGGGGGAGGACAAAG
RNAcentral lists this long non-coding RNA (418 nucleotides) under Mustela putorius furo (domestic ferret). Its description in RNAcentral is "lncRNA (ENSMPUG00000025979.1)". Lineage: Eukaryota; Metazoa; Chordata; Mammalia; Carnivora; Mustelidae. The record is from RNAcentral.